This 347-nucleotide long non-coding RNA is filed under the name Pongo abelii (Sumatran orangutan). Its description in RNAcentral is "lincRNA". Lineage: Eukaryota; Metazoa; Chordata; Mammalia; Primates; Hominidae. The record is from RNAcentral.
AGGUGCCCACAGCAGAAUCCACAUGCAGUACAUCUGGUCCAGCUACAGCCCCAGGCAGAGCCACAACUGUGCUGGCGCCUGGAGCUGCCAGCCCCACUGCAGCAGCCGGACUGACAUUCAGACAUGGAGCAAGUUGGACUGCAUAGGGACCCACCUCUGAGAUUAACACUGUCUGUAAGGAGUUCUCCAGGGAGGCUGCUCUGCCAAGUCUGGUAUUUCAUGAAUAGAUCUGAAAAGAGACAUUAUCUCUUCUCCCAGUGAAGAGAGAGUGAUGAAGGCUCAGGACAAAAGGAGGCAGUGGGAUGAUGCCACCAAGGGACCAUUCUGAAGAGCCAUCAGCAAAAAGC